UGACCUUUAAAUACAAGAGAAGAAAUUUAGACCUUUAUUAGGGUCAGUCAUAGCUAGCUGUGACGUCGCUAAAGAUAAAUAAUAAUGUUUAAUCACACACAUCAUGAUCAUCUCAGUCCCAGGCAGACAAAAUCGGACACAAAAUCACUCCCAUGGGAAGCGUCAUUACAUUGCAUUGACGCACCUGAAAUGGUUUUAAAAAAGCGGGGUGAAUACAAAUGGCCAGUACAGUAUAGAGUCCAGACAGUUAAACCAAUUGAAAAUAUUUUACAGGACACAAGCCUACACUACUUUCGUUAUUGUAUUUAGGCGCUGAUAUGGACAGCUAGGGGUCCUUUAUGGACGAUUGUUUCAAAGUGUCAAAAUCUUUUUUUAACUAUUUUUUCACUAUAUAGAAAGUGCGUUUUUGAGAGCUCGUUACAUCUGUUUCAAACCAAUUAGAUAAUAUUGUACUGUACAUAAGCAUACACUACUUUUGUUAUUUUAUUUAGGCGCUGUUAUGGACAGCUUGGGGUCCUUUAUGGACGAUUGUUACAAAGUGGGGCUGGAAAACCCUGUUAAAACUUUAUAAUAGAGAGUGCGUUUUUUAGAGGAUCCUGGCUGAGCUGGAGUCUAUCCCAAGUGACUUGGGGACGAAAGGAGGACCACACCCUAGAAUGGUCAGCGGUCAAGACAUAAGGAGACUUACCGAAACAGACUCACACCAUCAAUGAGUGCCUACAGACCCCAUGAUGCCUGUCAGGCAUGUUUGACAGCAAUGUCACUCUUGGGAACUGAACUGCAUCAACGCCGUGAGAACAAUUUCGGGAAGCAUUAUUCUGCUCUGUAUGACAUGAGCAUGACAACAGUAGGUCAGAACAGAAGUUCUCCCAUGUAAUGAAUUGAUUAUUUGAGAUUUUUUUUGGGGAGGAGUUAAAUGCCUAUCAAUGAUUUAUUAAAAAAAAAAAAGAGAGAGAGAAAUGGAAUUGGAGAUGUUUGAGCUCUCUGUUUAAAGACAUGUUAACAAGAAUUGGGCGUUGCGGCUUUCUCCAUCUCCAUCUGGCACCCAGAGGAAGGAGUCACAGCAGAGGCCUCACGAUGCACACCCACUCCACUCUCACCACGCAUGCACAGUCACGAACACACACACAUACUCUCACACGUUGACGUCUUAACUUGAAACGUACUCGAAGUGCUACACUGAAAAAAAAAAGUACCUAAAACUAAGCCUGAUCAGUCGGUUGAAAUUAACCAAAAGGUCAUUUGCCUUUCAUCCUGUCGAGGAGACGAGUUGUUUAUGGUUGCACGUUGCGAUUGACUGCCAGCCAAUCCGGCGUGUAGUCUGCCUUUUGCUCAAAGUCAGCUAAAAUAGGCACCAGCUCUCCACAAUCCUGAAGAGAAUGAGCGGC
Long non-coding RNA from Hippocampus comes (tiger tail seahorse), 1388 nucleotides. RefSeq lists it as uncharacterized. The transcript is spliced from 3 exons. NCBI's taxonomy places the organism in Eukaryota, Metazoa, Chordata, Actinopteri, Syngnathiformes, Syngnathidae. The record is from RefSeq and is a predicted model, not a curated record.